This 73-nucleotide transfer RNA is filed under the name Odocoileus virginianus texanus. It matches the Rfam family "tRNA". Rfam says of the family: Transfer RNA (tRNA) molecules are approximately 80 nucleotides in length. Their secondary structure includes four short double-helical elements and three loops (D, anti-codon, and T loops). RNAcentral also lists the same sequence under 4 other names. The record is from Rfam by way of RNAcentral. Lineage: Eukaryota; Metazoa; Chordata; Mammalia; Artiodactyla; Cervidae.
UCCCUGGCAGUCCAGUGGUUAGGACUCUGUGCUUCCACUGCAGGGGACAUGGGUUCGAUCCCUGGUCAGGGAA